GAAAUUUAAUUUCGAACUAGAUUAUUCUAGGAUUUGCUUCUUCAAUUACAAGACCAUCACUAGUUUUUCUUUAAGUCACAUAGUUGUAUUUCUUUCCUGAUUCCAGUUCUUGAUUCGGUAUAUCUUUGCUAUAUAUUGUAUAUUUAUGACAUCGUAGCUGCUUCUAUAGCUUAUUUCUGCAGUGUUCAUUUUAUAUUCAAAGCCAAUCAAUUCUUGGUCUCCGGUAUGUUUCACUUCAGCCUUUACUAAUAGGGAUUGGUAAUUUGAAGAUAGAAUUCUGAUGAUGG
RNAcentral lists this long non-coding RNA (287 nucleotides) under Gossypium raimondii (Peruvian cotton). RNAcentral's name for it is "long non-coding RNA (GRAI_LNC005882)". Lineage: Eukaryota; Viridiplantae; Streptophyta; Magnoliopsida; Malvales; Malvaceae. The record is from RNAcentral.